Molecule: long non-coding RNA, 287 nt
Filed under: Hordeum vulgare
Lineage: Eukaryota; Viridiplantae; Streptophyta; Magnoliopsida; Poales; Poaceae
Description: long non-coding RNA (HVUL_LNC015145)
Source: RNAcentral
CUGGUUCAAGAACAAAUGAAACAAAAUCAAGUUGGGAAAGAAUGCUGCAAAUAUAUCGAUCUCACAUUCUGUCAAAGAUUAAUAAGAACAACAAAGCAACUCAAGUCACCCUCUAAAAACUGUUGAGAUGCAGCAGUCAGCGGAUGUCGCCAUAUUAACAAUUAAUUAGUUGAUGGACAAGGUUGUGUGAGAGGGAGGGCCUGUACGCAAAUCAGAUGUUGCAUCUUUAUGAACUACUAUAUCACACAUACUUGAUGAUUUACAUUACAAAAUGUAUUUCUUCCCUG